RNAcentral lists this ribosomal RNA (746 nucleotides) under uncultured Candidatus Poseidoniales archaeon. Its description in RNAcentral is "bacterial SSU rRNA". It matches the Rfam family "Archaeal small subunit ribosomal RNA", at positions 12 to 775 of the family's 1478-position model. The record is from RNAcentral. Lineage: Archaea; Methanobacteriati; Thermoplasmatota; Candidatus Poseidoniia; Candidatus Poseidoniales.
UCCUGCCAGAGGCGACCGCUUUUGGAGUUCGAUUAAGCCAUGCGAGUCGAGAGCCUUAGGGGCUCGGCAUACUGCUCAGUAACACGUGGAUAACCUGCCCUAUUGUCUGGAAUAACCUCGGGAAACUGAGAACAAGGCCGGAUAGCCCACAAUGCCUGGAACGGUUUGUGGGUGAAGAUAGGAUGGGUCUGCGGCGUAUCAGGUCGUAGGGGGUGUAAUGGACCUCCUAGCCAUCGACGCGUACGGGUGUUGGGAGACAUAGCCCGGAGAUGGAUUCUGAGACACGAAUCCAGACCCUACGGGGUGCAGCAGGCGCGAAAACUUCACACUGCAGGAAACUGUGAUGAGGGAACUCCAAGUGCAUUCACUAUGUGGAUGCUUUUUUUGACUAUUAAUCGGUCAACGAAUAAGGGCUGGGAAAGACCGGUGCCAGCCGCCGCGGUAAUACCGGCAGCUCAAGUGGUCGUCGCUUUUAUUGGGCCUAAAACGUCCGUAGCCUGUUUGGUAAAUCUGUGGGUAAAUCAACCAGCUUAACUGGUUGAAUUCUGCAGAGACUGCCAGACUAGGGACCGGGAGAGGUGUGGGGUACUCUAGGGGUAGGGGUAAAAUCCUGUCAUCCUUAGAGGACCACCAGUUGCGAAGGCGCCACACUGGAACGGAUCCGACGGUCAGGGACGAAGCCUAGGGGCACGAACCGGAUUAGAUACCCGGGUAGUCCUAGGUGUAAACGCUGUGAACUUGGUGUC